GUAACACGUAAAGAACCUGCCCUCAGGUCUGGGAUAACCACGAGAAAUCGGGGCUAAUACCGGAUGGGUCAUCGGACCGCAUGGUCCGAGGAUGAAAGGCGCUUCGGCGUCGCCUGGGGAUGGCUUUGCGGUGCAUUAGCUAGUUGGUGGGGUAAUGGCCCACCAAGGCGACGAUGCAUAGCCGACCUGAGAGGGUGAUCGGCCACACUGGGACCGAGACACGGCCCAGACUCCUACGGGAGGCAGCAGUAGGGAAUCUUCCACAAUGGACGAAAGUCUGAUGGAGCAACGCCGCGUGAACGAUGAAGGCCUUCGGGUCGUAAAGUUCUGUUGUAAGGGAAGAACAAGUGCCGCAGGCAAUGGCGGCACCUUGACGGUACCUUGCGAGAAAGCCACGGCUAACUACGUGCCAGCAGCCGCGGUAAUACGUAGGUGGCAAGCGUUGUCCGGAAUUAUUGGGCGUAAAGCGCGCGCAGGCGGCCUCUUAAGUCUGAUGUGAAAGCCCCCGGCUCAACCGGGGAGGGCCAUUGGAAACUGGGAGGCUUGAGUAUAGGAGAGAAGAGUGGAAUUCCACGUGUAGCGGUGAAAUGCGUAGAGAUGUGGAGGAACACCAGUGGCGAAGGCAACUCUUUGGCCUAUAACUGACGCUGAGGCG
RNAcentral lists this ribosomal RNA (655 nucleotides) under uncultured bacterium. RNAcentral's name for it is "bacterial SSU rRNA". It matches the Rfam family "Bacterial small subunit ribosomal RNA", at positions 110 to 753 of the family's 1533-position model. The record is from RNAcentral.